ACGAACGCUGGCGGCGUGCUUCACACAUGCCAGUCGCACGGAAAGGCCCUGCUUUUGUGGGGUGCUCGAGUGGCGAACGGGUGAGUAACACGUGAGUAACCUGCCCUUGACUUUGGGAUAACUUCAGGAAACUGGGGCUAAUACCGGAUAGGAGCUCCUGCUGCAUGGUGGGGGUUGGAAAGUUUCGGCGGUUGGGGAUGGACUCGCGGCUUAUCAGCUUGUUGGUGGGGUAGUGGCUUACCAAGGCUUUGACGGGUAGCCGGCCUGAGAGGGUGACCGGCCACAUUGGGACUGAGAUACGGCCCAGACUCCUACGGGAGGCAGCAGUGGGGAAUAUUGCACAAUGGGCGGAAGCCUGAUGCAGCAACGCCGCGUGCGGGAUGACGGCCUUCGGGUUGUAAACCGCUUUCGCCUGUGACGAAGCGUGAGUGACGGUAAUGGGUAAAGAAGCACCGGCUAACUACGU
RNAcentral lists this ribosomal RNA (466 nucleotides) under uncultured bacterium. Its description in RNAcentral is "partial 16S ribosomal RNA". It matches the Rfam family "Bacterial small subunit ribosomal RNA", at positions 29 to 506 of the family's 1533-position model. The record is from RNAcentral.